This 247-nucleotide ribosomal RNA is filed under the name uncultured bacterium. Its description in RNAcentral is "partial 16S ribosomal RNA". It matches the Rfam family "Bacterial small subunit ribosomal RNA", at positions 15 to 257 of the family's 1533-position model. The record is from RNAcentral.
GAUCCUGGCUCAGGACGAACGCUGGCGGCGCGCCUAACACAUGCAAGUCGAACGAGAGAGAAGGAGCUUGCUUCUUCGAUCGAGUGGCGAACGGGUGAGUAACGCGUGAGGAACCUACCUCAAAGAGGGGGACAACAGUUGGAAACGACUUCUAAUAUCGCAUAAGCCCACGGGUCGGCAUCGACCUGAGGGAAAAGGAGCAAUCCGCUUUGAGAUGGCCUCGCGUCCGAUUAGCUAGUUGGUGAGG